Molecule: long non-coding RNA, 813 nt
Filed under: Oryza sativa Indica Group (long-grained rice)
Lineage: Eukaryota; Viridiplantae; Streptophyta; Magnoliopsida; Poales; Poaceae
Description: lncRNA OsZS97_03G032570
Source: RNAcentral
GUCGCUGCCCACAUCGAGGAGCUCAUCAGAGAAGGGGGUGACGCCGUGGCGCGCGGUCCGGUCGAGCACUUGGUGCGCCGUGCCGCCGAGCCGAACCGUCAUCUCCGUCUGCACCGCUGCCUUCCUGUCCCCAGCCAUGCCGCCGCGUCGCCUUCCCUGUUCCCGGUCGCUGUCGCCACCGCCGACAACCUGCGGGUGAACCUGGUGAGCUAUGUUGUCGAGCUGGUGAAUGCGGCGAAGGGCAAGGUGAACAUGGAGUACAUGCGGUUGGUGGUCGACCUCAUGAUCGUCUUAAAUCAUUACAUGGAAAAUGGAACACCUACUUUCGCAGCUUCGCUUCAACAGAUCAAUGCAGCCAGGGCGUCAUUUUGUUUACCGAUGGACAAGUCCCCACCUACCGCCGAUUUCUCUCCUCUCCCCACCUACCGCCAUCUGUCCUCACACUCACCGGCGCCGGCGCACCGGGUGGGGAAGCCUAGAAGGGCGGCGGUCGAGGAGCUCCUUGGGCGGCACGGCGACGAGCUCCCUGGCGGCACCGGUCGCUGCCUCUCUGUCAACCCGUCGACGACGCCACCUCCGCUCGAGAUCCGCCACUGGGGCGAUGGCCGGCGGCGUAGAGAUCCACGAGCGGUCGUGGCAGGCGACGGUUGCGGUCAUCGACGGGCUGACGGGAGGGAGGCGCGGUCGUGGCGGGCGGCGGUGGCGGUCGUCGACGGGCUGAUGGGAGGGAGGUCGGCGACGGCGGCAGUGGCGCGGUCGUGGUGGGCCCCGGACGACGGCCACGCUUGGCGCCAUGGCUCUUUGUUCCUAUAG